RNAcentral lists this ribosomal RNA (402 nucleotides) under Triticum aestivum (bread wheat). RNAcentral's name for it is "partial small subunit ribosomal RNA". Lineage: Eukaryota; Viridiplantae; Streptophyta; Magnoliopsida; Poales; Poaceae. The record is from RNAcentral.
AUGGUGCGCAAAGGUUGGUCGGCAGUGGCUCCAUCUGCUGGUUGUGAUGCUUGCCCGGCUCAGGAGACAGCUGACCAUCUGCUCCUUCGCUGCCGUCCCGCUGAUGCAAUAUGGAGAAAGCUAUCGCUGGCAACGUUGGCUUGUGCGUCACCCAAUAUUCAGCAGUUUGUUUGUCAGGCCAAGGAUCACCUCCAGUCCACAGCCAAGUGGAAUGUUGCUUUUGCUGCAUGUGCUAUCACGCUUUGGCAAGCCAGGAAUGAUCGGGUUUUCAAUGAUAAAUGCUGGCCGGAGACGUAUAUCAGGUUUCAUGCGGCUAAUUUGCUUGGUCUGUGGAGCAACAGGGCUACCAAGCAGUCAGACAAGGACGAUCUGGCUUCGUGGAUCACCAUUCUCAGCAAUUAG